AUGUAUUAUUUCUCCCUAUUUCUCCCUCUAUGUGCAGUGAAAGCCCUGGGCAUUAUAGAAAACAAACAUCAGAAGGCUCUGAGAGGUGAAAAGGAAAAGAAAGCCCAUCCAGAGAACUUGAGACCCAAGGCACAGCAUGAUGGGAUGAAGCAGAAAAGCCAUGAUAUGAUACACUGGCAACCAAGUGAAGAAGGUGCUUCAAACAGAAGACAGUAAUCAACAAUGCCAAAUGCUGCUAGUAAGUCAAGUUAAAUGCCUAAAAAUUGAUUACCGAAGAGCCCCAGUGAAUUUGAUGAGGAAGUAGUGGUGACAGCCUGAGUGGAGAGAUCCAGAGAGAAGGGAGGAAAAAAUGUACGCAGCAAGACAUAACUCUUUUGGAAGAGCGAAUGAAAAGGAGGUAAAGAAAGAGAAGGGAAUAGGGGGUCCAGAGAGUAGUUUUUAUUUUAAGAUGAAAGACAACAGCUUGCUGUAUGCCGAUAGGAAGGAUUAGCUCAUUCAUUCCUUCCUUCAAGGACAAAUUUAUGGAGCUCGUCCUGUGAGCCAAGCACUAAGAACACAGAUAAAGACAGAUAAGGCUCUAGUGGAAAGCAAAGGUGAAACAGUUACAAGAAGAUAAACAUUCCAGCUGAGAUAAACAAUAGGAUGACAGGGUGAGAAAAGAUGGCCCCUGAGGAAAAGGGCCUGGUAAGGGUUUCCAGGGGGGACUGAAGUUUGACCUACUCCUAAUGAAGUAGGUGCUCACCAUGGAGAUACUCUUUGCAGAGAGAAAUAGCAAGGCAAAGACAAAGAGAUCUGAAAACAUGGGUGCAUUUGAGAAACUGCAGUCUGCAUGACCGGACUGACACACACAUGUGGAAGAGCAGUGAGAAGCCAGAUUCUAGAUGAUUCUAGAUGGCAAGCCAAGCACUAUAGAUGGUUUUCUGAUGCUGGCUAGGGAGAGCUUUCUAAGGACUUUAAGCAAGGGAAUACACAGAUACCUGCCUUUUAAA
RNAcentral lists this long non-coding RNA (989 nucleotides) under Mustela putorius furo (domestic ferret). RNAcentral describes it as "lncRNA (ENSMPUG00000025669.1)". The record is from RNAcentral. Lineage: Eukaryota; Metazoa; Chordata; Mammalia; Carnivora; Mustelidae.